RNAcentral lists this ribosomal RNA (274 nucleotides) under uncultured bacterium. Its description in RNAcentral is "partial 16S ribosomal RNA". It matches the Rfam family "Bacterial small subunit ribosomal RNA", at positions 523 to 796 of the family's 1533-position model. The record is from RNAcentral.
AUACAGAGGGUGCGAGCGUUAAUCGGAAUUACUGGGCGUAAAGCGCGCGUAGGCGGCUUGGUCAGUCGGAUGUGAAAGCCCUGGGCUCAACCUGGGAAUUGCAUUCGAUACUGCCAAGCUAGAGUAUGGGAGAGGGAAGUGGAAUUUCCGGUGUAGCGGUGAAAUGCGUAGAUAUCGGAAAGAACACCAGUGGCGAAGGCGACUUCCUGGCCCAAUACUGACGCUGAGGUGCGAAAGCGUGGGGAGCGAACAGGAUUAGAAACCCCAGUAGUCC